Sinocyclocheilus grahami is the source of this 380-nucleotide long non-coding RNA. RefSeq lists it as uncharacterized. The record is from RefSeq and is a predicted model, not a curated record. NCBI's taxonomy places the organism in Eukaryota, Metazoa, Chordata, Actinopteri, Cypriniformes, Cyprinidae. The transcript is spliced from 3 exons.
AAAGGCACAUUGCCUAUUGAUUCACAAACAAUCCUUCAAGUUACAGCCAACUCAAUUUGUUUUGUUUGGAUUGUUCGAUUGUUAAUUACUAUAACGAUGCUUUGCGUCCAUAGCGUGAAAUUAAUCCAUCCUUUGUGAAAACAAAUCCCAUUCCUUUGUCACGAAGCAAAUCUUCAGCAGUACAAAAGUGGGCUGCCCAUCUAAUUCUCUUUUAAUUUCUCUUCCAACAGAGGCAGUGUGCCUUUGUAACAUCAGCAGCUCUGCAGAGUGCUUGAAACCAUGCAGAAUCUGACAGACCUCCCAGGCAACACGACAUCCAGCAUUAACCUCUCUGUCAUUGUGAAGCCUCAGGAGCCUGAUCGAGACGGUGCGCCGCACAU